Molecule: microRNA precursor, 207 nt
Organism: Oryza sativa Indica Group (long-grained rice)
Lineage: Eukaryota; Viridiplantae; Streptophyta; Magnoliopsida; Poales; Poaceae
Rfam family: MIR812 microRNA precursor family
Source: Rfam
UAAAAAACAAAUCCUAGGUUUUCGUGUCCAACGUUUUGACCGUCCAUCUUAUUUGAAAAAAUUAUAAAAAAAUUAAAAAGACAAGUCACGCAUAAAGUAUUAAUCAUGUUUUAUCAUCUAACAGCAAUGAAAAUACUAAUUAUAAAAAAAUUUCAUAUAAAACGGACAGUCAAACGUUGGACAUGGAAAUCCAGUGUUUAUCUUUUU